UGCAAGUCGAACGGCAGCGCGGGUGCUUGCACCUGGCGGCGAGUGGCGAACGGGUGAGUAAUACAUCGGAACGUGCCCUAGAGUGGGGGAUAACUAGUCGAAAGAUUAGCUAAUACCGCAUACGAUCUACGGAUGAAAGUGGGGGACCGCAAGGCCUCAUGCUCCUGGAGCGGCCGAUGUCUGAUUAGCUAGUUGGUGGGGUAAUAGCCUACCAAGGCGACGAUCAGUAGCUGGUCUGAGAGGACGACCAGCCACACUGGGACUGAGACACGGCCCAGACUCCUACGGGAGGCAGCAGUGGGGAAUUUUGGACAAUGGGGGCAACCCUGAUCCAGCAAUGCCGCGUGUGUGAAGAAGGCCUUCGGGUUGUAAAGCACUUUUGUCAGGAACGAAACGGUGGGGGCUAAUACCUCCUGGUAAUGACGGUACCUAAAGAAUAAGCACCGGCUAACUACGUGCCAGCAGCCGCGGUAAUACGUAGGGUGCGAGCGUUAAUCGGAAUUACUGGGCGUAAAGCGUGCGCAGGCGGUUGUGCAAGACAGAUGUGAAAUCCCCGGGCUCAACCUGGGAAUGGCAUUUGUGACUGCACGGCUAGAGUGUGUCAGAGGGGGGUAGAAUUCCACGUGUAGCAGUGAAAUGCGUAGAUAUGUGGAGGAAUACCGAUGGCGAAGGCAGCCCCCUGGGAUAACACUGACGCUCA
This 700-nucleotide ribosomal RNA is filed under the name uncultured bacterium. RNAcentral's name for it is "bacterial SSU rRNA". It matches the Rfam family "Bacterial small subunit ribosomal RNA", at positions 56 to 749 of the family's 1533-position model. The record is from RNAcentral.